Molecule: long non-coding RNA, 467 nt
Filed under: Gossypium barbadense (sea-island cotton)
Lineage: Eukaryota; Viridiplantae; Streptophyta; Magnoliopsida; Malvales; Malvaceae
Description: long non-coding RNA (GBAR_LNC004823)
Source: RNAcentral
AUUAAGUAAAACGUAUUAGGUACAUGACAACAAAUAUUAGCAGACAUAUUUUUAUAUCAACAAAUGUUUGGCAAACAAGACAUUACACAUUUAUGUACGUACAGACCAAGAGAGCACUCAAAGUCAAGCUAAACUUCAACCUACAUACAUGAUACAUACGUGCGGCUCAUCAUUUAUCAUCGCAUUCAUGCAUACAGACAUUACUCUAUACUAAAAUUCACUAAAAACAGCAAAGCAAACAUAUAUUCUAAGCAGCAGAAAGAGACCAAAGUUUGGUUUUCAAAAUUUCCUCAUUCGGUCAAGUACGUACGAGGCGAGAAGAGUCGGCGAGGUGACAACAACCCCAUGUAGCGAGGCGAGAAGAGUCGGCGAGGUGACAACAACCCCAUGUAGCGAGGCGAAGCGAGACCCUCGAUGGACCUAUAUUCGGAUAUCAUAAUGAACCCCUCUCUCUCCCCCCGCCGGCC